GUUGUAUGGUUAAGUGACUAAGCGUACACGGUGGAUGCCUUGGCAGUCAGAGGCGAUGAAAGACGUAGUAACUUGCGAUAAGCCCAGAUUAGGUAGUAACAACCAUUUGAGUCUGGGAUUUCUGAAUGGGGAAACCCACGUGCAUAAGCACGUAUCCUUACCUGAAUACAUAGGGUAAGGAGGCGAACCGGGGGAACUGAAACAUCUAAGUACCCCGAGGAAAAGAAAUCAACCGAGAUUCCGAAAGUAGCGGCGAGCGAAAUUGGACUAGCCCUUAAGCUUUACACGCGUUAGACGAACGGUCUGGAAAGUCCGACGAUACAGGGUGAUAGUCCCGUAGUUGACGACGUGUGUUCAGUGAAAUCGAGUAGGGCGGGACACGUGAUAUCCUGUCUGAAUAUGGGGGGACCAUCCUCCAAGGCUAAAUACUACUGACUGACCGAUAGUGAACCAGUACCGUGAGGGAAAGGCGAAAAGAACCCCUGUGAGGGGAGUGAAAUAGAACCUGAAACCGUGUACGUACAAGCAGUAGGAGCAGGCUUUGUCCUGUGACUGCGUACCUUUUGUAUAAUGGGUCAGCGACUUAUAUUCAGUGGCAAGGUUAACCAUCUAGGGGAGCCGUAGGGAAACCGAGUCUUAACUGGGCGUUCAGUCUCUGGAUAUAGACCCGAAACCAGGUGAUCUAGCCAUGGGCAGGUUGAAGGUUGAGUAACAUCAACUGGAGGACCGAACCGACUAAUGUUGAAAAAUUAGCGGAUGACUUGUGGCUAGGGGUGAAAGGCCAAUCAAACCUGGAGAUAGCUGGUUCUCCCCGAAAGCUAUUUAGGUAGCGCCUCGGACGAAUACUACUGGGGGUAGAGCACUGUUAAGGCUAGGGGGUCAUCCCGACUUACCAACCCUUUGCAAACUCCGAAUACCAGUAAGUACUAUCCGGGAGACACACGGCGGGUGCUAACGUCCGUCGUGGAGAGGGAAACAACCCAGACCGCCAGCUAAGGUCCCAAAUUACUACUAAGUGGGAAACGAUGUGGGAAGGCUCAGACAGCCAGGAUGUUGGCUUAGAAGCAGCCAUCAUUUAAAGAAAGCGUAAUAGCUCACUGGUCGAGUCGGCCUGCGCGGAAGAUGUAACGGGGCUAAGUAGUAAACCGAAGCUGCGGCAAUGUGCUUUUGCACAUUGGGUAGGGGAGCGUUCUGUAAGCGGUUGAAGGUGUGUGGUAACGCAUGCUGGACGUAUCAGAAGUGCGAAUGCUGACAUGAGUAACGAUAAAGGGGGUGAAAAACCUCCUCGCCGGAAGACCAAGGGUUCCUGUCCAACGUUAAUCGGGGCAGGGUAAGUCGACCCCUAAGGCGAGGCCGAAAGGCGUAGUCGAUGGGAAACGGGUUAAUAUUCCCGUACUUCUUACAAUUGCGAUGGGGGGACGGAGAAGGCUAGGUGGGCCUGGCGACGGUUGUCCAGGUUCAAGUGCGUAGGCUUGAGAGUUAGGUAAAUCCGGCUCUCUUUAAGGCUGAGACACGACGUCGAGCACCUACGGGUGUGAAGUCAUUGAUGCCAUGCUUCCAGGAAAAGCCUCUAAGCUUCAGAUUGUAAGGAAUCGUACCCCAAACCGACACAGGUGGUCGGGUAGAGAAUACCAAGGCGCUUGAGAGAACUCGGGUGAAGGAACUAGGCAAAAUGGUACCGUAACUUCGGGAGAAGGUACGCUCUCGACGGUGAAGUCCCUCGCGGAUGGAGCUAUUGAGAGUCGCAGAUACCAGGUGGCUGCAACUGUUUAUUAAAAACACAGCACUGUGCAAAAUCGUAAGAUGACGUAUACGGUGUGACGCCUGCCCGGUGCCGGAAGGUUAAUUGAUGGGGUUAGACUUCGGUCGAAGCUCUUGAUCGAAGCCCCGGUAAACGGCGGCCGUAACUAUAACGGUCCUAAGGUAGCGAAAUUCCUUGUCGGGUAAGUUCCGACCUGCACGAAUGGCGUAAUGAUGGCCACGCUGUCUCCACCCGAGACUCAGUGAAAUUGAAAUCGCUGUGAAGAUGCAGUGUACCCGCGGCUAGACGGAAAGACCCCGUGAACCUUUACUACAGCUUGGCACUGAACAUUGACCCUACAUGUGUAGGAUAGGUGGGAGGCUUUGAAGCACGUACGCCAGUAUGUGUGGAGCCGUCCUUGAAAUACCACCCUUGUAGUGUUGAUGUUCUAACGUCGACCCCUUAUCGGGGUUGCGGACAGUGCCUGGUGGGUAGUUUGACUGGGGCGGUCUCCUCCCAAAGAGUAACGGAGGAGCACGAAGGUGGGCUAAUCACGGUUGGACAUCGUGAGGUUAGUGCAAUGGCAUAAGCCCGCUUGACUGCGAGAAUGACAAUUCGAGCAGGUGCGAAAGCAGGUCAUAGUGAUCCGGUGGUUCUGAAUGGAAGGGCCAUCGCUCAACGGAUAAAAGGUACUCCGGGGAUAACAGGCUGAUACCGCCCAAGAGUUCAUAUCGACGGCGGUGUUUGGCACCUCGAUGUCGGCUCAUCACAUCCUGGGGCUGAAGUCGGUCCCAAGGGUAUGGCUGUUCGCCAUUUAAAGUGGUACGCGAGCUGGGUUUAGAACGUCGUGAGACAGUUCGGUCCCUAUCUGCCGUGGGCGUUGGAAGAUUGAAGGGGGCUGCUCCUAGUACGAGAGGACCGGAGUGGACGAACCUCUGGUGUUCGGGUUGUGUCGCCAGACGCAUUGCCCGGUAGCUAAGUUCGGAAUCGAUAACCGCUGAAAGCAUCUAAGCGGGAAGCGAGCCCUGAGAUGAGUCUUCCCUGAUACUUUAAGUAUCCUAAAGGGUUGUCGGAGACUACGACGUUGAUAGGUCAGGUGUGUAAGUGCUGUGAGGCAUUGAGCUAACUGAUACUAAUUGCCCGUGAGGCUUAACCAUACAACACCCAAGGGGUUU
This 2916-nucleotide ribosomal RNA is filed under the name Vibrio parahaemolyticus. RNAcentral's name for it is "23S ribosomal RNA". It matches the Rfam family "Bacterial large subunit ribosomal RNA". Lineage: Bacteria; Pseudomonadati; Pseudomonadota; Gammaproteobacteria; Vibrionales; Vibrionaceae. The record is from RNAcentral.